AGAGGUGAAAGGAGAUGGAGGUGAAAGCAGGACAGAUGGAUGAAAACACAAAGUCAGGCUUCUGUUUUUAUUUAAACCAAAUAGAUGUAGAUAGAAACCAAAGCAAAGCAACAUGUAGAAAACAAUAAGAAAAAGAAAAUGGAGAUCAUAGAAAUGAUUAAAAAUAAAUAAAUCAGCUGAAAUAAGAGACGAAAAUUCAAAACACCCAGAGGACUCUCACUGUGUCUCCUUUGUGUUGAAGGUUUAAUUAUAACCUGAUAAAACUGGCAUUUUGUCCAUCGAGCCACUCCUGUAUUAGCACAUGAGUCUCUGAAGGCGUGGCACACCUUGGUUUGGGCAGCUUCUUAUUGGACGACCUAUUUACCUGCAUCUGUGAACGUGUGUCUGCACUCACUGAUGCUCAGAGACGCCUGAAGCAUCUGCAGCAGCUGCUUCAGGUUUCUGUGUUUCAGUCAUUGUUCCCUCAGUUCUCACUGAGUUCAGAGAAGAAGUAUGGAUGCUGUGUGAAAAUGGCAUGUCUUCCCUAACAUGUACGCUCACUUACAUACACGUUAACAGCCCCAUCAGUCUCUGUUAUCCAGCCUGUGCUUCACAUGAUGGGACGGGCUCCACCCUCCUGCAGCUCUGAGCAGAUGAAGCUGGUAAAACAGUGGAUGGAUGCUCCGAAAGGCACCAACAGCCCAAACACAGUCCACAGGUCCAACUCAGGCACUGCAGUGAGCUGAGGUGAAGCUUGUGUCGCCAUCCAGCUGUCAAUCAAAGAGACCACGCCCCCAAUAUUGCAGAAUCUAUGACUUAAUACAAUUUAAACAGGUGAGUUAUGGCAGUGCAGGUGUUACGAAGGGGAAAUACAGAAACAGUUUUGUAUCAGGCUGUAAACAUGUAAACAUGCUGUAAGUUUUUAACAUGACUCUACGGGGACUGACUCACUGUUGGAGCCUCUGGUGGACGUUAGAGGAACUGCAGGUGUUGACACAUUUCUCAGCAGCAGGAAUGAUCCAAACACGAUCACUUCUGAGUCCAAACAAACAACAUGGCAGCUGCCAAAACAACCCUGUGGGCGACGCCGAGAGGGUUACGUCCAUAUUUAAUGUGGCUGUAGCGUCAGCGGCGAGGAGGUCAAGUGUGAGUGCUAAUGGACACUGUGAGUCACGGCUUUCCCAAAGAGAGCAUCAAAAAAGAAAAGGGAGAAAGGAGAGAAGGCAAAGUGAUGGAAGGCUUUCUAAAGAAAGAACAGCUAACAGGCUAAGGAUGGUUCGGCUAUCAGCAGCUGUUACAGUCAGAGAUCUGCUGACAUCAGGCAGCCUUCAGCUUUACUGUGUCCAGACCUGCUCUGAGCUUUAGUUCGCUGUAAUGAAGCACAGGCAGCACACUGACGUACCCGUGGACACUCUGCAUCAGUGAAUCAGCAGCUUACAUCUGCAGGACCAUCACACUGCUCCGUGUGACGUCUGUAACUCGUGGGUUCGAUAUCAUCACAGAAACAAUAAAAAACAUCAAUCACUUCCCUGCAGAUACACCUGCUCGCCCACAGCGCUGGAACUCUGCUGUUACGGUUUCAGAAACAUAAAAAUAUCUGGAUCCGGAUCUCUGAGUGCUGCAGGAUGAUGGAAGCAGGGAACGUGAAGGUUGCUCUGAGGCUGAUGGGAAGGAUGAGGACAGAGGACUGAGUGUUAGGAAAGGUUUAGGAAACAGACUUCACAUUUUAAAGGUUUUUAUCUCACAGGAAUCAUAAAUGAUUCAACGAAAAGCAAAGAAAAUAACUCAUUUGUCAGCUCAAUAAUCCAAGUAAACACAUGUAACCAUGAUUAAGCUGUGGACGGCUCUAUGGUAAAAGGAGGACGUCAACAUGUGCUGAGACUCAUGGACGUGCUACAGAUCUGUCAGUAGUUAACAGUUCAUGAUUGGCUGCCCUAAAAAUCAGUACAGCUGUCCGCACAGCUGGAUGAACGAGAUGAAGGGGGCCCACAGAGACUCUGUGAACAUGGGCCCAGAGUUCUGUGUUACGGCCCUGGGCAGCAGCCCCAACCUGAAACUGGACUCAGGUGCAUUUUUGCCACAAAUGCAUUUUACAGUAUUUGUGCUGAUUACAGGAUCCUGACAGUCCCGAUGACGCUGCUGGUGGGAGCGCUGGUGUUUGGAAGUUUGCGCUCUCUCACUGACCUCCAUCUGUUA
This is a long non-coding RNA of Oreochromis niloticus (Nile tilapia), 2175 nucleotides long. RefSeq lists it as uncharacterized. The transcript has 3 exons. The record is from RefSeq and is a predicted model, not a curated record. Lineage: Eukaryota; Metazoa; Chordata; Actinopteri; Cichliformes; Cichlidae.